GAGGCUGGGUGGAGCGGAUACAUUUUGUAAACUGGAUUCCCUUAUUCAACAAAGUGCUUAGUGAAUCAGUUGACAGCAAUGCCAGGGUCCUCUGAGGACAGGGCCUUCCUGGAGGUCACUUGAGCCACUUGCCCCAAGGUGGUUUUCAGGGGAGUGUGCCCAGCGCUCGCUGCCUGUCUGCAGCUGGGCAGAGCAGCCCCUCUUCCGCGUCCAGCUCCACCUGGCUGCCCUGCCACGGCCCCAGCGGGCAACCCCCUUGUCCUUGACGCCCCUUACUGCCUGCUGCAGCUGGGCCUCAGGGAGAACAGCUGCAGAUGGCCUCCCACCCCCACCCCCCACCAACAGAGGAGUGCCGGAUCACACCCUGUCACGCCAGGAUUUUAUUUUCAAUCAGAGCGCCUACAGAGAACUAAGCCUACCGUAACCAGUGUGAGCAGACAGGGAUUUACUAUGGGGGGUGACCUCCCUCCAAUAGGAGCUUGA
Molecule: long non-coding RNA, 483 nt
Filed under: Callithrix jacchus (white-tufted-ear marmoset)
Lineage: Eukaryota; Metazoa; Chordata; Mammalia; Primates; Cebidae
Description: lncRNA (ENSCJAG00000074464.1)
Source: RNAcentral